AUGCUUGAAAAAGGAAAUGAGGAUUUCAAAGAAGAGAUUUUUAAACUACACAAUAAGAUUUUUCAUCUUGAAAAUGCUCUGAAACGCUCUGAAAAAGAAAAUUGUUUAUUAGAUAAGCAAGUUCAAAGAAUGCAAUUAAAACUGGAAACUGAUGAGCGAACUAUUCAAAAGUUAAUUGAAAUUCAAGAACAAAUGAAGGCAGAAAUUGAAAAUGAAAGAUCAUUAGUUAAAAGUCUGACUUCAGGACUGCAAGUAGAAGAAAACGAAGUUAAAAAAAACAAACUGCCAGUGCAAAGUGAAACUGAAAAUAUAAUGCCUGAGGAGAAAAGAGAAUUCCAAAAGGACCAUCUUACAAAACAAAAGAAAGAGCUGACUGACAAGAUAACAUAUGUAGCACCUGAUCAGGAAGCUGCUAAAAGAACACUGACUGCUGAAAAUGAUAAACUGAAGCAAUAUAAAGGUCAAGAAUGGCAAACCGUAGAAAGCCCUAGAAAAACAACUGAGCAAAGUAAUAUAAUAUGGAAAAAGAAAUUCCAGAUUCUACAAAAGAGCUUGCAUGCCAUUAAGGAUGAGAUGUUUCUUAGGCAAACCCUGCAACGUCGGUUAUUUGUGUUUAAAAGUACAUCCCUCAGUGAGACAAUGUCUUUUCCUGUUUAUAUUGAAAAUGAUACACAAGAUGUGAAAGGAUUCAGAGCUGGCUUAUAUUUACCUUUAACUUUGCCUCCAAUACAAUCCCAGUCUACUGAACAGCAGAAAGAAGGUGAAGAUAAUUUUCUUAGACUUACAAAUGCAACAAAAAAGGACAGUGUGUUUGAAGAUGGCGUGUGACUGGAUAUCUGCUUCACAUGGCUAUGAAUGACUGCACCAUCUACAAACAGCAGUAGUACAAGUGCGAAAAUCGUGUACCUCUUGAAUAAUUCCCCACCACAGACCUGUUGGCAUCCACAGGAAGUUUCUGGAAAUAUUUUUUCUUUCUGCCGGUUUUUAAAGAUGGUCUAAAAUAAUGUUUGCAGAGAUUAGAAAAAGGAUUAUUCAAACUAAUGUUCAAUUUCUAAAAGUUUGGCAACUUUCCUCCAUCGCUGCCUUCAGCUUGUUCAGACCUAAGUGCCCUCUCCUGAGGGCUGGGUUGGAGCUGAGGGUUUUCUCUUGUUUUCACUUCAGGCUCUCUUUAAUGUGCAAGCACAGAGAGAGGCAUACUGGGAAAUUAAAAUUUCAACAUUAACUAUAUAUAUAUAUAUAUGUAUGUAUAUGAAAACUUUGAUGCAUAAGAGAAGGAAACAAAAGAGUCUGCACCUAAAGAGCCUGAUUCAGCCCUUCUCAAUAACUGAAGGAAUCUGUCUAGGAUUCAGAAUCCUUCAGAAUUUUUUAAUAAAUUGAAAGAGCGUCAAUGAGUUYAGUCA
RNAcentral lists this long non-coding RNA (1400 nucleotides) under Apteryx rowi (Okarito brown kiwi). Its description in RNAcentral is "lncRNA (ENSARWG00000016305.1)". The record is from RNAcentral. Lineage: Eukaryota; Metazoa; Chordata; Aves; Apterygiformes; Apterygidae.